UUAAUGUGAUAUUGAUCUGAUGCAUUUGUUACCUCAUUCAUUGCCAAGGUUCAUUCAGUUGGUCUAACAGUCAGUCAGAUAUCCUUUUAUCCUCAACACACAUCAUGUGUCUCUCCUAAAGGUGAAGGCUCCUUGGAAAAGGAUGGCCUUCCCUAUACAGGAAGAUGAUUCUUAAGUCAAGAAAACAUGAAUAUGAGUGUUGUGCCACUAGAGUGUCCAGACAAGUUCUCAAAAGAAACAAUAAACCAAAAGCAAGGAGAAGGGACAUAGGUGG
This 274-nucleotide small RNA is filed under the name Mus caroli (Ryukyu mouse). RNAcentral describes it as "sRNA (MGP_CAROLIEiJ_G0008735.1)". It matches the Rfam family "7SK RNA". From Rfam's summary of the family: 7SK was discovered as an abundant small nuclear RNA in the mid-70s but a possible function has only recently been suggested. Two independent studies have found that 7SK RNA binds the CDK9/cyclin T complex (known as elongation factor P-TEFb). The record is from RNAcentral. Lineage: Eukaryota; Metazoa; Chordata; Mammalia; Rodentia; Muridae.